Molecule: transfer RNA, 67 nt
Filed under: Globitermes sulphureus
Lineage: Eukaryota; Metazoa; Arthropoda; Insecta; Blattodea; Termitidae
Description: tRNA-Arg
Source: RNAcentral
AAGUGAGAAGCAAAAAUUGCAACCAGUUUCGACCUGGUCCUCAGAUAAUACAACUUAUCCUCACUUU